AUUUUAAUUUUACUUGGAAGAAAAUAUAUAGGUAUAUGUGUAUAUAUAUCUGUGCUGCAUUCUAAUUUCUAACCCUAAUUUAAAUCAAUAAGCACUUAUUUUUCAUGUACUUAUUCUAUAUUAUUUCUUUAAUUAGUUACUUGUUGUAGAGGGCUCUGGAGCUUUAAAUUUACUUAUGGUUUAUUUAAUUAAUUUUUUGUUUUGGGUUGGUUAAUUCUGCAGAUCUAGAAGGAUCUAGGUAGAUCGACGAUCCAUUUAAUUUGAUCAUGAAGAACUUGCUAGUAAUAUUCUUGUUAGCCUCAGUGCUGAUUUUGGGAAAUUUCCAAGCCAACUCAGAAAAUCGCAACCUUCCAGUUGUUGGUCGUGAAAAUAUUGGGCGAAAGGUGAAUGCUGGUGUGACUGGGUAUAAACUAGGAGGGUCUGAAAAUAAUCACAAAACCAUCAACAAUAUUAACAGUAACAAAGCUGUAGUUAACGAUGAUGAUGAUGAUGAUGAUGAUGAUGAUGAUGGUUGCAAUGACCCUAACAAACCUCACAAACCUCACCACUAUUUUAAUACUAUCAAUCGUCCUACCCCGGAUGAACCCAGACACUAGCUACCUAUAUAUAUAUAUAUAUCUACAAGCUCUUCAUGCAUGGUGAAAUGUUCAACUACUUCUUAAGUUGGUGUGGUUGUUGUAUAUGCUUAAUAAUAUUGUAACUCAUUGAGUUCACAAGGUAGAACUUUUAAGUUUUAUCUGGUGUGUGUGUGUGUGUGUGUUUCCUUCUCUUUUAUAAUGUUCUGUUCGUAUUAUGUAUAUAAUUUUAUGAUGGGUGUUAUGUAUUAAACCUAUCAAUAACUAAAAUGACCAUGCUGGCAGGAGUUGCUUGUAGUUCACAUGCAAGUUGAAUUUUUCAUGAACCCUAAACAACUGAUCAAGAUCUAAUGUACAGUAUAAGUUAAAUAUUAAAGCAUAAUAUAAGC
Molecule: long non-coding RNA, 964 nt
Filed under: Panax ginseng (ginseng)
Lineage: Eukaryota; Viridiplantae; Streptophyta; Magnoliopsida; Apiales; Araliaceae
Description: long non-coding RNA (PGIN_LNC011242)
Source: RNAcentral